AUAAGAUAAUAUGUAUACGGGAAAGAGAUAUUCAGUUCUAGACGAAUGUAAUAUUUUUUGUCUUACUGAAUUCGUUUUCGCUUUUCUAGCCUGAGAAGUGGCCAAGCGGUCUUCAUAUGUUUGCUCUUUUUUUUUUGCCUUGAGGUUAUGUGAUCACAUCUAUGGUUUAAUAACGGAACAGCAUGCACCACAAUAUUUUUAACAGGUUGCUAUUGUUGUUAUUAUUAGUAUUGUAUUUACUGUCAUUACUAUUACUGUUUGUUUUUUUUUUUUCAACUUCACUCUGGCUAAGCGUUUUGCUGUGUUUCCAUUAAUGAACAAUUGAAUCUUUGAUCAGGAAAUUUAAAAUUUCAUAGAGCUUCUGGGGCAAUAAAACUCUACUUUGGGAAAAGCGAAGAGAAGUUUUCGUGACCUUAUGCUUGGGUUGAUAUAUCAAUUUUUUUAUCAAUCGCAUUCCGAUUGCAUAUGUUUACAUUUUUGACUCGCCAUCAGUAAAGACUUAAGCCUGCGUAUACUACCAGUACAUAAGGAUUAAGUGGCAUUGUGAAAGUAUUAUAAACUCAAAAUUUUUCAUAGCGUUUGGAUGCACUUUUGAUUCACCACCUUCGAUAACAGGCCAUUUCAUUUUCCACUUCGUGUAAUGCAGUCACGGCCAGAAAGAAGAAGAAGAAGUUACGAAAGGUAAUGACAUAGGGAGAUCGCCCCAGCCUAGUGGAUCUGUGUAUCCAAUCGGUAAGUUUUCUGCCUUUAUCGACUUAUAUAUACGAUCACUACAAUCACGAUCAAGUAAAGCUUUAACGCACUGAGAUUUGAAUACGCGAAUACUAAUUUGUUAAUCGCGUUUCUUACCUACUCGGCUGCGGUUGCGGAAUCUUGCAUUUUAGGCAACUGAUCGAACACAAGUAAUUGAAAUACUUAUUGGCGGAGAAUUCAGCUCAAGCUCUCAAAGAACUUACGAACAACUUAGCAGCUGAUGAAGCAUUUCGAAUCGUUCCAGCAUCGCGGUUUCAUUAUUUGCCAGGCAAAGAAAGAAGUGGCGUGUUGUGGAUGACAAAGACAAGUUGAUCUACUAGAAUGAUCCCAAGCGCAAAAGCGCGUGGGUUAGUCCAGGAGAGCCAUCCACAUCGACAUCGAAGCUAAAUAUUCAUCGAUGUCAUACUAACAUCGAUUCAUAUACAUUGCACCAAUUUAUCGCAACAAAUGGCUUUUUGAAGUGUAAAAAUGAUCAGAAUACAUGCAAGCAUUUACUAAUUCAGAACAAAGACGUCAAAAAUUGCGUUAUUCAAAUGAAAUUUGAAAUUUUCAAAUGAAUUUGAUUUGAGUGAUGUGUUUACAGAAGAACUCUAUGAAUAUUGCGGCCAUUAAUCGCAAAGUAAUUGUCGUAGCUAUGAGAAAAAAUUUAUGCUUAUUUCUUACGCCAUUUGAUGAACACGCAAAUGGGUUUUGAUUUAUCGCUAACGAUGAUGUUAUGCGCUGCCUGCCGUACUUAAUAUUGCACGUAAUACGACACAAAUUCUCUAAAACGCAUUUUUUGCACAAUCUGAAAGUGACGUCAGUACUUGUGUAGUUUUAUAGGAACUGAGAAAUAAAAUUUAUCAAAAAAAAA
Long non-coding RNA from Glossina fuscipes, 1606 nucleotides. RefSeq lists it as uncharacterized. Lineage: Eukaryota; Metazoa; Arthropoda; Insecta; Diptera; Glossinidae. The transcript has 2 exons. The record is from RefSeq and is a predicted model, not a curated record.